Molecule: long non-coding RNA, 645 nt
Organism: Canis lupus familiaris (dog)
Lineage: Eukaryota; Metazoa; Chordata; Mammalia; Carnivora; Canidae
Exons: 4
Source: RefSeq, a predicted model, not a curated record
CAGGAACAGCCCUUUUGUGAGACAACACUGAAACAUUUCCAAAAGAGAGACAAGGUGGGGGUGUUUGCCCAAUGCCGAGUUUCUGGAAAGAGUCAUUUCCACACAGUGCGCACACACGAAAGGCGCUGAAAAUGCUCAGAGGUGAAUGCAGUGCUGCAGAGUGGCGAGUAGCAUGCUAGGUUUGGAACCAAAGGCUUUGCAUUGGAACUCCAGGCUUUUGGCUUAAACAUGUAUGCUGCCUGGGACCAGGGCUUUCAGGAAAGCAUCUAACUUCUCUCUUGCCUGAUCUGUAGACUCUCUUUGAAAGUGCCCACCUGAUCACAUCAAGCUCACCUGGGACGAUCUCCCUUUUGAGUAACUCAAAGUCAAGUGAUUAGAAUUAUAAUUAUAUCUGCAAGAUGUCUUCACCUUUGCCUACUGAUAGAAAUGAUCUGCCGGCACUCAACAUGAGGGGAACAUACAGAAGAUGCUCCAAGUGUUAUAAUCAUGUAGAAGAUACAACAAGAAACUCAGCUUUUAAAAUACCUGGAUUGGAACACCUGGCAGUCUUAGUCAGUGGAGCACGUGACUCUUGAUCUCCGGGAUAUGAGUUCAAGCCCCAUGUUGAUUGUAGAGAUUACAUAAAUAGACUUAAAAAAAAAAAAA